This 384-nucleotide ribosomal RNA is filed under the name Anilios australis (Southern blind snake). RNAcentral describes it as "partial 12S ribosomal RNA". It matches the Rfam family "Bacterial small subunit ribosomal RNA", at positions 797 to 1381 of the family's 1533-position model. Lineage: Eukaryota; Metazoa; Chordata; Lepidosauria; Squamata; Typhlopidae. The record is from RNAcentral.
UUGGCAGAAACACGGCCAUACUCACCUCACCUAUGGCCCGCCAGAUAAUUACGAGUAAAAACUUAAAAUUCAAAGGACUUGACGGUGUCCCACACACAACCUAGAGGAGCCUGUCCUAUAAUCGAUACUCCACGAUAGACCCGACCACUUUUUGCCAAACAAUCUAUAUACCGCCGUCGAAAGUUUACCUUUUGAGAGAGGGGAAGUAGACACAAGAGGCCACCCCCCAAUAUGACAGGUCAAGGUGUAGUAAAUAAAGUGGCUAGAGAUGGGCUACACUUCCUUAAUAAGGAGAAACGAACGGCUUAAUGAAACCACGCCAGAAGGUGGAUUUAGUAGUAAAAUGAGAUUAGAAAGCUCAUUUGAACACACUGCUCUGGGACG